UACGAAGGGUGCUAGCGUUGUUCGGAAUUAUUGGGCGUAAAGCGUAUGUAGGCGGCUUAGUAAGUUGGUUGUGAAAUCCCCGGGCUCAACCCGGGAAUUGCAACCAAAACUGCUUUGCUUGAGUGUGGUAGGGGAUAGUGGAAUUCCGCGUGUAGCAGUGAAAUGCGUAGAGAUGCGGAGGAACACCGAUGGCGAAGGCAGCCCCCUGGGAUGACACUGACACUCAUGCACGAAAGCGUGGGGAGCAAACAGG
RNAcentral lists this ribosomal RNA (253 nucleotides) under uncultured bacterium. RNAcentral describes it as "partial 16S ribosomal RNA". It matches the Rfam family "Bacterial small subunit ribosomal RNA", at positions 524 to 776 of the family's 1533-position model. The record is from RNAcentral.